This 180-nucleotide non-coding RNA is filed under the name Accumulibacter sp. RNAcentral's name for it is "6S RNA". It matches the Rfam family "6S / SsrS RNA". From Rfam's summary of the family: E. coli 6S RNA was the first non coding RNA to be sequenced, but its function was unknown until recently. It consists of 184 nucleotides that fold into an extended hairpin structure with a large single-stranded internal bulge. The 6S RNA specifically associates with RNA polymerase holoenzyme containing the sigma70 specificity factor. The record is from RNAcentral. Lineage: Bacteria; Pseudomonadati; Pseudomonadota; Betaproteobacteria.
CGUUCCCUGCGGUGUUUGUUAAGGUCAUAGACUCCUUGAACCAAUGCUAAUUGGCAUCGGUCGCGGACCAUAGAAACCGCUGUUGUGUGCGCCCUUCACGGGUGUACCUGAUGCGGAAGGAAAGUGACCCCUCUGAACCCAGGUUCAGGAUGCCGGCCUGACGGCACUCGCGGGGACCCA